GCAUAUCAUAAGCGGAGGAAAAGAAACUAACAAGGAUUCCCCUAGUAACGGCGAGUGAAGAGGGAAAAGCUCAAAUUUAAAAGCUGUUGUCUUUCAGGCAACCGCAUUGUAAUCUCAAGAAGUGUUUUCGAUUGUAGCCUGCGUAUAAGUACCUUGGAAUAGGUUGGCAUAGAGGGUGAAACUCCCGUCUUUGAUGCAGAUUACUAUGAUCAUGUGAUACACUUUCUAAGAGUCGAGUUGUUUGGGAAUGCAGCUCAAAAUGGGUGGUAAAUUCCAUCUAAAGCUAAAUAUUGGCCUGAGACCGAUAGCGAACAAGUACCGUGAGGGAAAGAUGAAAAGCACUUUGGAAAGAGAGUCAAACAGAACGUGAAAUUGCUGAAAGGGAAGCGUUUGAAGUUAGUCUGAUAGGAGUUGUUCAAUUGUUACUUUGGUUUCAAUGUAUGCAACUUUUUAUCGGUCAACAUCAAUUUUGAUUGAUGGAUAAAGGUAAUAGGAAUGUGGCUACAAUUUGUAGUGUUAUAGCCUAUUAUCAUAAACAUUGAUUGAGAUUGAGGACGGCAGUGUACCUUUUAGGAAGGUGUUCGCACCUAUUACACUAAGGAUGUUGACAAAAUAGCUUUAAGCGACCCGUCUUGAAACACGGACCAAGGAGUCUAACAUAUCUGCGAGUAUUUGAGUGACAAACUCGAAUGCGUAAUGAAAGUGAAUGUAGGUGUGAAGCGUAAGCUGCAACAUCGACCGAUCUGGAAUUUUUAUAAUGAUGGAUUUGAGUAAGAGCAUAUAUGUUGGGACCCGAAAGAUGGUGAACUAUGCCUGAAUAGGGUGAAGCCAGAGGAAACUCUGGUGGAGGCUCGUAGCGGGUUCUGACGUGCAAAUCGAUCGUCAAAUUUGGGUAUAGGGGCGAAAGACUAAUCGAAACCAUCUAGUAGCUGGGUUCCUGCGAG
RNAcentral lists this ribosomal RNA (944 nucleotides) under Wallemia sebi. RNAcentral's name for it is "LSU rRNA". It matches the Rfam family "Eukaryotic large subunit ribosomal RNA", at positions 38 to 965 of the family's 3401-position model. Lineage: Eukaryota; Fungi; Basidiomycota; Wallemiomycetes; Wallemiales; Wallemiaceae. The record is from RNAcentral.